GGGGCCGGGCGCGCGCGGCUUUAUCCGGGCGCCUGGCCGGAAGGAAAAAAACAGCUCGGCCGGCGUAUCUGUUUUUCUCUUGGCGGGGGACGAAAGAACGACGAUCGGCGAAUCCCCGCCCGGCUAGCUAGUGGCGGACGCGGCCGGCGCCGUUGCGGUCCCAAGCUUCGACGACGGUCUCGCCAGGCAGGCAGGAAGGCGAGAGGCUGAAUUUCGAACAAUUCAUCCUACACGAUGGCAUGGCACAGCCGCCGCACAGGCGAUGCUGGAGAAUUUCAUGAGCUAACGGAAUCGAGGUGUUCUUUUUCUCGGUGGAGAUAAUUGGCGCCUCGGUCUUCGCAAUGGAAACCAGAACGCUACGAUCGAAGGAGAUAAUUGGAUGUGCAGCAGGGGAAAAAAUCAGAACGAUAGGAGUACAUCAAAAUAAGGUCUCAACACUGAAUUUGUCCGUCCAAUUUGAAGUAAAUUGCAACAGGUCUAACUUAUUACCCUGUAUGUGCAAGCUUGGAAGCUCACCGUUUAAUAAGGCUGCAAUCUAAGAUCUCCUAUGGAUAAUGGACCAACUCGAAUCGUACUGGUGGCCUAUGCAUGCUUGCCCUUUACUAUAUCAAUCUACCCGUGCGUUGUAGGUACCUGAAGAAGUUUUGGGAUGACAUCCAAGCCUAUAGGCGAGUGGCUCCCUACCAAGCAUUGAACCUCGAGUCAUUUUCACUGCUGUAUCACAUUUUGUGACACGCUGUUGAGUCAUUUUUACUGUUGUAUCACAUUUUGUGACACGUUGUUGGAUGUAGUACUGAGGUCCUUGUUAAAGCAGUGCCGUCACUAAUUGUUCUAGUUUUAUAUGGGAGUUGUGGAAAGAGCGGGAUGUGAGAGGGUUUGAUUGAUGUUUUUUUUGCCAAAACAUGUGUUGACUGAGAAAACCAAAGA
Long non-coding RNA from Sorghum bicolor (sorghum), 927 nucleotides. RefSeq lists it as uncharacterized. The record is from RefSeq and is a predicted model, not a curated record. The transcript has 4 exons. NCBI's taxonomy places the organism in Eukaryota, Viridiplantae, Streptophyta, Magnoliopsida, Poales, Poaceae.